CCCUUAGAGUUUGAUCCUGGCUCAGAACGAACGCUGGCGGCAUGCUUUACACAUGCAAGUCGAACGAGUAUGGACCUAGCUUGCUAGGGACCCAGCUAGUGGCAAACGGGUGAGUAACGCGUGGGAACCUACCUUUUAGUACGGAAUAGCCAUUGGAAACGAUGAUUAAUACCGUAUGCGCUCUACGGAGGAAAGAUUUAUCGCUAAAAGAUGGGCCCGCGUUAGAUUAGCUAGUUGGUGGGGUAAUGGCCUACCAAGGCAACGAUCUAUAGCUGGUUUGAGAGGAUGAUCAGCCACACUGGGACUGAGACACGGCCCAGACUCCUACGGGAGGCAGCAGUGGGGAAUAUUGGACAAUGGGCGAAAGCCUGAUCCAGCAAUGCCGCGUGAGUGAUGAAGGCCCUAGGGUUGUAAAACUCUUUCAGUGGGGAAGAUAAUGACGGUACCCACAGAAGAAGCUCCGGCUAACUUCGUGCCAGCAGCCGCGGUAAUACGAAGGGAGCUAGCGUUGUUCGGAAUUACUGGGCGUAAAGCGUGCGUAGGCGGCUUGACAAGUUGGGAGUGAAAUCCCGGGGCUUAACCUCGGAAUUGCUUCCAAAACUGUCAAGCUAGAGUAUGGUAGGGGAUAGUGGAAUUCCUAGUGUAGGGUGAAAUCCGUAGAUAUUAGAGAACACC
RNAcentral lists this ribosomal RNA (675 nucleotides) under uncultured bacterium. Its description in RNAcentral is "bacterial SSU rRNA". It matches the Rfam family "Bacterial small subunit ribosomal RNA", at positions 1 to 710 of the family's 1533-position model. The record is from RNAcentral.